AUAACUGACACUUUCCCAAGCACCAAAUAAAUACCGAGGAAGGGCUGCAGUCCUACCACGUUUGUACGAUACACAUAGUAGAAGGACAUAUUAAGCUUACUGAACACCGAUUCAAAUGGAGCAGGAGUUAAUUAACUGAAUUCGAGAAGCUGCUUGAUAAGAGUGGAUAAUAAGAAGAUUACACAGGCAGGACCUUAUUUGGAGUUAACACCAACACCAAUUCGAGAUUUUGUUAGCAAGUUCAGCUGUGUAUGGGUAUGCUAUAUGAUUAUUUUAAAGUCAGCCAUAGACAUGGCAGUUCCAAACCUCUGGGCGUACAUUUUGAAAUGGCUGUAAUAUGACUGACAGGUAAAUCUAUAUGCUAACUAAUUUAGCAUUUAGCAUUAAUAUGGGUUCUAGCUGAGAUUGGCAAUUAACACGGCGAUCCGGGUUUUAGAUGUCUCGACGACUAUUAGAGAUCUGGUGGUUUUCAAACCUUCACUUCGCCUCCUUUCUGAAAUUACACGUUUUUAAAUUUUUGUAUUAUUUAUAUACUUUUGAAUGAUUAGCAACAAUUUUGGGCUAGGUAAUGUUUAUUGCGAGUCCUCAAUGUUUGAUACCUAUUUGCACAGGACGUUGCCACUGUACGUUUUAUUUUUCAAACGUAUAAAAUAAAAAAAUUAAAAUUGUAUUUAUUUUAAUAAGGUAGCGGGUAGAAACUUCCAUAUCAUCGCCAGGAACAGUUCUACUUCAGGGACGCGACCCUGCCUACGCAAGCCUUGCUGUCUCCUCGUACAUUAUUUGAGGAAAGCAAGUCCCAAACCAUAGAUCCCAACCAACACCCUCAUUCCUAGCACAUCGUUAUCCCGUCAUCAACCAACUAGUCAAGGUGGGGCCAUCAGUUGAGACAGAAGCGAAAUAUUAAUUCCAUUUUGCCGUUAAAUGUUGCUGUUGGUCACAUAGCGAUAAGGGUUUUAUAGUAUCCUGCUGGAGUUAAAAACGCUUGACAGGGUUGUAAAAAGAGCUUCCGAAUUGUGGACAUUGGUCAAGCUCGAUCGAGAACCUUGUCCUUCGCUGUUCUUUCUCAUUUUUUUCAUUUGUGUUAAUUAAUUAUUUAAUUAAAAUUAAAUUUGGGGGUCACAGAUCUUUUGUGAGUACCAGCUGUAGAGAGCGUCUUGAUCGGGCCGUUUCAUCCACAUUCUCACGCAUUGUUUGGAUAUGGACAUCGUAAGUGUUUUAACGACAAGUGUGUUUAGCGUCUUCAACUGAUUGAGAAUCAGGAUUUUUCAAUGGUUUUUUUCCUGUUAACGAAGUUAAAACCCUGUUCUGACUAUAAUUUGUUUGAUAUUAUGUGUGAUUGGCUAACUUUCAUUAUAUUAUAUUGUUCAAGAAUGAAAACACGUAUCUUGUUACUCUUUGUUGUUGCCAACUGUGACUACUUUCCCAGGGUUGGCAACAGAUUAUUGCACAAAAAGCGGCAAUCUCAACCUGCGUCUGUUUAGGUUAGUUUAUUGUACAUUUUUUAUUGAUUAUUAGGAGCAGACGCCAGUAGUAAUAAUAUACUGAGCUGAGUUAUUUCGUAUCUGAUUGCCUGCAUCUUCAAUUAUUUUAUCUAACAGUAAGCGGGUAGUAAAUUCAACAUGGUGGAAAUGCUGCUUCAUGUGUUGUCAUAAAUAGAAAUCCAAAGGAUUCAUAUCUGAAGAACACGGCGGUCAGGCAGUUGGAUCUUGCUGACCUAUCAUUUCCUCUAGAAGUUAUUUUUUAACCAAUCCGUACUUGCCUGCCUCUGUAUGAUGGCGCAUUUGUACGGAAUGUACGGGCAGCAAAUUAUUCUUGAAAAUACAUCAGCGUUUACAUUUUCGUUUGCUUGUAGACUCAAUUAGUCCCACUAAGUGAAUUCCCUUUUUUAAAUGGAAAAACACUAAUAAAUUUACUGUUGUCAUUUUUUUGCAAAACUUAUAAGAUAUAAUUUUCUAUUCUAUUUCAUCCGAAAAUAGUAUAUGUUUACUUUUUCUAUUAAUUGCACAUCUUAGAGGAAGUUUGUUUUGACGAUAUAAUGUAUCUGCAUUAAAACUGUCAAAUAAAUUGUUUAAUUGUUUAUAUCUGACACAAAUUCUGCGGUAAGCAUGGUCUUACUUGUUAAAAAACUUGUGUCUGAGUAAAGAGAUUCUGAUGUCGAGGCAACUGUAUGACUGCGGGUUUUUGCUGCAAUUGAGAUUUUCAUUUUAGUAAAUGGAUUACUUUCCAAAUCAUUCAAAUAAUUACGGUUAAUUUUUCUCAUGGCUUGAUAUCGCCUUUUCUGGUAUAUUUCACUAGCUUCUUGAAUAUGUUUAUAUAUAUUCAUAUGAAUAUGGCAGAUUUAUUUUAUGAAUAGAAAAUAUCAUACCUAUACAAGGCAUUUCGUGUUGAAUUUAAUAAAUGUGGAGUAUCAUAAAAUAUCAA
Long non-coding RNA from Dendroctonus ponderosae (mountain pine beetle), 2421 nucleotides. RefSeq lists it as uncharacterized. The record is from RefSeq and is a predicted model, not a curated record. Lineage: Eukaryota; Metazoa; Arthropoda; Insecta; Coleoptera; Curculionidae. The transcript is spliced from 2 exons.